Molecule: RNA transcript, 2362 nt
Organism: Setaria italica (foxtail millet)
Lineage: Eukaryota; Viridiplantae; Streptophyta; Magnoliopsida; Poales; Poaceae
Exons: 2
Source: RefSeq, a predicted model, not a curated record
CGAGAAAAAUCGAGUUGGGCGAGUCUGAUCGUUUCUUUCCUCGUUUUGCCCCCUCCUCCGGAUCCCGUGUGUUCGCCCCCCUCCCAGCUCCGCCGCCACCGCGACCCACCCCGCGCGAGCCUUCCUCCGCGACCCACCCCAUCGCCAUCGCACGCGCGCGCCUGCCCUCCGCGACCCACCCCUUCACGCGCGCGCGCGGCUGCCCCUCCGCGACCCGGCCAUCGCGCGCGCCAAAUCCCUGCCCACGAAUGCCUGUCGCCGUUCUCCGCGCAGCCGCGAGCUCUCCCUCCCGCACAACUGCGAGCUCCUGCCUCCUCUAGAAAUUCCCGUGCGCCCAGUUCAGUUUCCCGCCCAAUCUGCCGCGCAGAGGCUUUCCCCCUCCAAUCUCCCGCUCGGAGGUUGACUGAUCCAUUAUAAUUCCAUCUUCCCCAAACUCAUAGUGCCACGCACCCCAUUUGACCAAAUUAAUCCCAAAUCGAUCUCGAAGAGAGCCUCAGGAUGCAUCAAUCAGAGAAGCAAGGUGUACAUCAAAAGAAAUCGAGGAGGCCCUCUUUGAUUUCCAGGAGAGGCGCCGGUGCUACUGCCACAGCUUCUCCAGGCACUAGGGCUCCUGCCGGAGGUCCAAGCAGCGCUUCUCCAGGUACUGCUGCUCCUGCAAGCGUUACAGGCGCCGGUGGUCGAACAGGCAUUCAUCCAACUCAUCAUGCAUUUUGGCCUGCAACAUCUCUUGGCAGCACCUUCACGGUGGAUUCAACAUCUCCUUGCACCUCUAAAUGUCUGUUUCCACCAGGUGGGUUUGUGAACUCUUUAGGGCGAGUUUGGAAACUCGAAUCCCGCUGGGGAUCCCGUCAUUUUCCAGGGGCUGGAAGCCCACGUGGGCAACUCACCACGGGCCGAAUCGCCUCGUCGUUUGGGAGCCCAUGAGAUGGGGACGCCUGACCGCAUCCACGAGUUUUCCCCGGGGCGAGCCUUCCUCACCUCGAGGGUCCUGGCGGCGCAUCCUCGAGUGCCGUCACCGCCGAAGCAACACGAGGAAGCUAGCGCCAACUCACCAAGCCCCCGCCGCUCCGUCCAAGCGCCACCGUCCGUCGGCCUUCCCGUCCGGCGCUGCUGCCCCUACGCCUUCCCGUCCGGUGCCGCCGCUCCGCCUCCCCGUCAACGACAACGCCGCCGUUCACUCGCCGUCUCCGGUGCUCUCCGCGACGAAUUUCUUGAUCCACAUCGACACCACCUCGACCAGCGACCAAGCGCUGCCGCCCCUCCGCGUCCCUAUCCAGGCGCUGCCGCCCCCCUCCGUGUCCCCGUCCCUGCCCAGGAGCAACUCUGCCAUCUCGAUCUGUUUCGAUAAGACCCUCUUCCUCCUCGGCUAGCAUAUGUGAGUUUUCCCCCUCACCCUCUCCUCCUCUUUCCUGAUUCCGUGUAGAUCUUGGUGCAUUAGCUCCAUGAUCCACUCAUUGUCUGUCAACAGCCUCUGCAUCCAAGAUGUGCGAACCUACUGAACGAAAUUGUGAUGCUAUAUGGCUAUUCAGAGUAGCAUUUUCUUGUAGUCUGUAUUUAGUCACUGUAAUUGUGAUGCUGAACAAAAUUGUGAUGCUAUGCUGAAGCUUUAUUCGUCCUUUGGUUCAGUGAUUACUGAAAAACAACUUUGUAAAUAGUAAUAAGGUUUUUGUUCUGUCAAACACAAUCAAGGUUUGUGAGCUUGCUUGCUGCUGCUUAGAUCAAUAUUGGCUUCUCACGUCAACUAUGCUAAUGCUGAGGUGAUAAUCAGUCCUUCCCUAGCAUCAGGAUGUAUAUGCAGACUAAUUUUUGUCUCUCCUGAUUUCUAGUUAGCAUCAUGAUAUUGUACAUCUUGUAAUUAAUGUGGCUUUUUUUUUCUUAAACAACAGCUUCUUGAAUAAUGUGGCCAAAUAAAAAUAUUAUGAAUGAUGCCUACUACUAGUCCUGAUGUUUUAUGUUGGUGGAAAGACCGCUAUGUAGUAAUUCAGCCAUAGAUUGCUAUGCUGGCUAUGUUUUAUGUUAGGUACAGCUGUCGAAUGAAUCAGUCUUGUUAUUUUGGUUGUUUGUUCAGAUAGCUUGCUUUGGUUAGUUGUAAUUAUUUCAUUCACAGCAGCAGAUUAGCAGAUUGCUUUGGUUAGUUGUAAUCAUUUUCAGAUUGACAGCAGCAGUGCAGGUUCUUGUUUAGUUCAGAAUGUAAGCGGUGGCAGUAGCUUUUUUUUAGUUCAGCUGCUCGGCUGGUUUGUUUCUCUGAAUUUCUAUCAGUUCGGUUCAGGACAGAUAAGAAGCUAAGCGCCCUUGCUAAGUGACUUAACCGAUACUAGAUGGAAUUAAUUGAAAGAGAGCACUCAACGUGGAAUUAAUAGUA